This 468-nucleotide ribosomal RNA is filed under the name uncultured bacterium. Its description in RNAcentral is "partial 16S ribosomal RNA". It matches the Rfam family "Bacterial small subunit ribosomal RNA", at positions 28 to 507 of the family's 1533-position model. The record is from RNAcentral.
GACGAACGCUGGCGGCGUGCUUAACACAUGCAAGUCGAACGGAAAGGCCCUGCUUUUGUGGGGUGCUCGAGUGGCGAACGGGUGAGUAACACGUGAGUAACCUGCCCUUGACUUUGGGAUAACUUCAGGAAACUGGGGCUAAUACCGGAUAGGAGCUCCUGCUGCAUGGUGGGGGUUGGAAAGUUUCGGCGGUUGGGGAUGGACUCGCGGCUGAUCAGCUUGUUGGUGGGGUAGUGGCUUACCAAGGCUUUGACGGGUAGCCGGCCUGAGAGGGUGACCGGCCACAUUGGGACUGAGAUACGGCCCAGACUCCUACGGGAGGCAGCGGUGGGGAAUAUUGCACAAUGGGCGGAAGCCUGAUGCAGCAACGCCGCGUGCGGGAUGACGGCAUUCGGGUUGUAAACCGCUUUCGCCUGUGACGAAGCGUGAGUGACGGUAAUGGGUAAAGAAGCACCGGCUAACUACGUG